Capsella rubella is the source of this 101-nucleotide small nuclear RNA. The record is from Rfam. NCBI's taxonomy places the organism in Eukaryota, Viridiplantae, Streptophyta, Magnoliopsida, Brassicales, Brassicaceae.
CUCCCUUCGAGGGACAUCCCAUAAAAUUGGAACGAAGAUUAACAUGGCUCUUGCGCAAAAAUGACACCCACAAAUCGCGAUAUCACAAUAUCAACGUUUUU